CACACACUCAUACACCAUCAAGCACUCUCUAUGUGUCUUACACACACACACUCACAAAUUAUGCAGGAGCACCAUGAGAUAUAGAGACAGCGAGAGCUGUGAAAGAAGUGUGAGGGGUCCUCUAAAACAAGCUCUGAGGGACUCUAGCCUGUCUGCUGCAGGUACCAUUAAGAAUCAAAGAGAGGAAAACAAUCUGAGGGAGAGGAAACGAGACAUGGAGGGAAAUCAAAGCCACCUAAGUGACGACUGCAUUCAAGGCCCUCAACACAAGCUGAAAACUUCUGUGGCUGACAAGAAAUCAAUGGCGUCUGGGCGUGGGGGCUCAGGUAUCGGAUUUCAGGUGGGCCCAGAAGUGCCCGAGCCCCGCAACACUGUCCACGGCCGUUAGCCUCCCGCGCCAGAGACGCAGAGUCUUUGGCUGCCGGAUAAAAAUGUCAAGCGCUAAUAGGUUCCAUUGUGAUUAGCCGAGAUAGUGUUCGCAAAUCCUCUGCAGAAAACGUGUUAGAAACAAUCUUUACAAGGUCUUACGGCCCCCCAACCACCACCAGCACCUCCAUCUCUCCAUCCUUGCUCUUCCGAGAUUCUGCUAAGCCUCUCGGCGCCAGGAUGAUUGUGGUUAAUAAAUAAAUAAACCAUGGACGGGAAAAAAGAAUCAAUUAAAUGAACGAGAGUUAGAGUGACAAAAGAUGUCCAAAAGACGCAGGAAUAUGCAUGAAGAGAGAAGGAUGCUCGUUACCUGAGGAUGCGCCCAUCUGCAUCUCUCUCUGGCCUCUGCCUCACUGCGGGCAACGAGAACGAGUUACACACUCUUAUUCUUCAGCUUCUCUUUCAUCUGUUCCACUGCCUACCUCCACUUCAGCCGCCCAACCAUCAGAAGGAAUACAAUCGGCUUUUCAUGAACAUCUGUUCCAGUGCCCUUGUCUACAAUCCGCUGUACACACAAGUUGCUCACCAAAGGAAACCAGCUUGAGUUUUGGGUGAAGUGUUACAUGUUGAAAAAAUGCAGAGUCAGUAAAUUAUUCUGAGAACUAGAAAGGUUAAGAAAUAGUUUGAUAGUUUUUCUUACAAAACAGGAGAUUAUAGAUUAUACGAUAGAUAGAUAGAUAGAUAGAUAGAUAGAUAGAUAGAUAGAUAGAUAGAACAAAAAGACGGAAUAAAUAGAAUCAUCAUAUACAUGGUAUAUUUGGCUAAAAUUAUACCCGAGUGAUUGUUUUAUUGAUUCAUAUCUGUGUAUGCUGAAGUGAGACAUCCUUAAAUUUUUUCAGGAAAAUUAUUUAUAAUUAUCUAUCUAGUAGUUCAUUAGCUAAGUGAUUUGAUUAAUAAAGUUCAGCCACAUCCUGUAAAAUCAAUAUAAAUGUUGGCAUUAUAUUCAGCUUUUUUAUAUAAAUAUAUUUAGGCCGGUAGUAUUUAAUAUCCAUGCAUUGAUUAAUGAAUCAGUGGUGCAUUCAAAUAGUAUUAGAAACCCUAAUUACUGUUUCAUGGGAUAUACAAAAUCUGCAACAAGUAUAAUUGCCUGCUAAUUAUUUAUAUCAUAAUAGCACAGAGUGAGCCCCUUGAUCAUGCAGUUAUUAGUUUAAUGUAAAGGUAAUAAAGAGGCCGGAUAUUAAAUUGAACUAAGUUAUUAAACAGUUGGCCCUUGUGUACACAACUGUCACUUAAAAUUAUUUGUACUUUCUUAAAUGCUUCCCAUUACCCCUCAAAAGCCCAGAAGUCGUCUCUGUUCCUGCCCGACCCAAAUCAGCCCACAGUGGACAGUGUAAAGUCAUCUUAUUAGAGUGGAUGGGAUGAUUUGGAAACAUGUUAACGGUCGUGCAGCUGGGACUGACAGGAACAUCACAGUGUUUAUGUCAGUGCUGUCGAGGGUGGGGAACGCAGAUGACGGCGUGUGUGAAGUUGACUGUACAGCAGGGAACGAGAGAGUUUCAGAAGGCUUGAGAAGCUCAUUAAAGCUGAGUAGCACUGGAUCCUGAUUCUAUAGUUUUCUGUUAAUGCAAACGCCACCGGGCCGGACAACAAGCUACUGCCGUAACAUCCACACACUCCGCAUUUAAUUGGGUGAAUACAAAUAUAGCUACUGCAUCAUUGGAGUAAAAAUAUUCAAUGUACUAAAUGUAUUUACUUUUAAAAUAAAUUAGUUUAAAUUAUUUAUCAAUCUAAAUUGUAUUCAAAUUAGUAUUCGAAAAAUUACUAACCGCACACACC
RNAcentral lists this long non-coding RNA (2202 nucleotides) under Sinocyclocheilus anshuiensis. RNAcentral describes it as "lncRNA (ENSSANG00000033586.1)". Lineage: Eukaryota; Metazoa; Chordata; Actinopteri; Cypriniformes; Cyprinidae. The record is from RNAcentral.